AGGUAAGGUCCUACAGCGU
Molecule: microRNA, 19 nt
Filed under: Ciona intestinalis (vase tunicate)
Lineage: Eukaryota; Metazoa; Chordata; Ascidiacea; Phlebobranchia; Cionidae
Description: cin-miR-4156-5p
Source: miRBase by way of RNAcentral